UCGUGGAGUGAUCUGUCUGGUUAAUUCCGUUAACGAACGAGAUCUCAGCUUACUAAUUAGUUGCGUGAAUUCUGAUUAUUCACGAUGGCGUCGUAUGACGUCGUCAACUUCUUAGAGGGACAAUUGGUUUUCGAACCAAAGGAAGUUUGAGGCAAUAACA
This 160-nucleotide ribosomal RNA is filed under the name uncultured eukaryote. Its description in RNAcentral is "partial 18S ribosomal RNA". It matches the Rfam family "Eukaryotic small subunit ribosomal RNA", at positions 1299 to 1458 of the family's 1831-position model. The record is from RNAcentral.